Archocentrus centrarchus (flier cichlid) is the source of this 201-nucleotide long non-coding RNA. RefSeq lists it as uncharacterized. Lineage: Eukaryota; Metazoa; Chordata; Actinopteri; Cichliformes; Cichlidae. The record is from RefSeq and is a predicted model, not a curated record. The transcript has 3 exons.
CCGGAGUGGGCCUCUCAAAGGGAAAAUAAGCAUUUCAACAGCAGCUGGACAAAUGGACUAUUGAGACAGCUCAUCUUGUGGAGGGUUUCCACCUGUGAUUAAUGUUAACCAGGUGAAAAGCGCCAGCGAGAGAAAGUUACAGAAAACAGUCUGAGUGAUGACAGCAGAUGACAUCACAUAGAGUCUGACUGAAACACACAC